UGGGGAAUUUUGGACAAUGGGCGCAAGCCUGAUCCAGCCAUGCCGCGUGAGUGAAGAAGGCCUUCGGGUUGUAAAGCUCUUUCGGCGGGGACGAAACGGUUCGUGCUAACACCACGGACUUCUGACGGUACCCGCAGAAGAAGCACCGGCUAACUACGUGCCAGCAGCCGCGGUAAUACGUAGGGUGCAGGCGUUAAUCGGAAUUACUGGGCGUAAAGCGUGCGCAGGCGGUUUGCUAAGACAGGUGUGAAAUCCCCGGGCUUAACCUGGGAACUGCGCUUGUAACUGGCAGGCUUGAGUGCGGCAGAGGGGGUGGAAUUCCACGUGUAGCAGUGAAA
This 338-nucleotide ribosomal RNA is filed under the name uncultured bacterium. RNAcentral's name for it is "bacterial SSU rRNA". It matches the Rfam family "Bacterial small subunit ribosomal RNA", at positions 355 to 686 of the family's 1533-position model. The record is from RNAcentral.